This 1359-nucleotide ribosomal RNA is filed under the name metagenome. RNAcentral describes it as "bacterial SSU rRNA". It matches the Rfam family "Archaeal small subunit ribosomal RNA". The record is from RNAcentral.
GGCGCAAAGCUCAAUAACACGUAGAUAAUCUGCCCUUAGGAGGGGGAUACCCCCGGGAAACUGGGCUCAAUACCCCAUAGGCGUUGUAUGCUGGAAUGCUUCAACGCUCAAAGCUUCGGCACCUAAGGAUGAGUCUGCGGCUGAUUAGGUUGUUGGUAAGCUAAAGUCUUAUCAAGCCUAUAAUCAGUACGGGCCUUGAGAGAGGAAGCCCGGAGAUGGACUCUGAUACAACAGUCCAGGUCCUACGGGACGCAGCAGGCGCGAAACUUUCGCAAUGCACGCAAGUGUGACGAAGGAACUUGGAGUGACUUCUCCGUUUAGGAGGAGUCUUUUGUCAAGUGUAAAAAGCUUGGCGAAUAAGAGGUGGGCAACACAGUUGCCAGCCGCCGCGGUAAUAACUGGGCCUCGAGUGGUGACCGCUAUUAUUGGGUUUAAAGCGUUCGUAGCCGGCUUGUUAAGUCCCUCGUGAAAUUCGGCAGCUAACUGUCGAAAUUGCUGGGGAUACUGACAGGCUAGAGACCGGGAGAGGUUGAGGGUAUUCUUGGGGUAAGGGUAAAAUCUUAUAAUCCCAAGAGGACCACCUGUGGCGAAGGCGCUCAACUAGAACGGAUCUGACGGUGAGGGACGAAAGCCAGGGGAGCAAACGGGAUUAGAUACCCCGGUAGUCCUGGCUGUAAACCAUGCCCAUUAGACAUUGGCAUUCUCAAGGGGGAUGCCAGAGUCGUAGGGAAACCGUUAAAUGGGCCACCUGGGAAGUACGGUCGCAAGGCUGAAACUUAAGGGAAUUGGCGGGGGAGCACACAAGGGGUGGAGGCUGCGGUUCAAUUCGAUUCAACGCGAGGAACCUUACCAGUGGCGACAGCAGAAUGAAGGUCAGGCUGAAGGUCUUACCAGACACGCUGAGAGGUGGUGCAUGGCCGUCGUCAGUUCGUGCCGUGAGGUGUCGACUUAAGUGUCGUAACGAACAAGACCCGCGCCGUAUGUUACUAUCGCAUGUUUUCAUGCGAGUACUCAUGCGGGACCGCUGCUGAUAAAGCAGAGGAAGGAGCGGUCGACGGCAGGUCCGUAUGCUCUGAAUCCACUGGGAUACACGCGGCCUACAAUGGCCGGAAUAAUGGGAUGCAACCCCGAAAGGGGGAGCCAAUCCUCAAAUCCGGCCUCAGUUCAGAUUGGGGGCUGCAACUCGCCCCCAUGAAGGCGAAAUCCCUAGUAGUCGCUGGUCAUCAUCUAGCGGCGAAUAAGUUCCUGCUCCUUGCACACACUGCCCGUCAAGCCAACCGAGUGGGGAAUUGGCGAGCUUCCGUUUUUUGGCGGAAUCAAGCCAGAGCCCUGUGAGGUGGGCUAAGUCGUAACAAGGUA